Molecule: long non-coding RNA, 1224 nt
Filed under: Arabidopsis lyrata
Lineage: Eukaryota; Viridiplantae; Streptophyta; Magnoliopsida; Brassicales; Brassicaceae
Description: long non-coding RNA (ALYR_LNC001271)
Source: RNAcentral
CUCUCUCAGGACUAGACCUAGCCGCCGCUCUCUCAAGUUUACAAGUUUGCCCAGAUCGGUGACCGGAGUACGGUGGCUCCUCUAGCACCGGCUUCGGUCCUCCUUUUGUUCUUUCCUUUCUUGGUUUUAGUUUUGUGUUAAUUAAAAGAAUCUUGUGGCCUUCGAUUGGGGUUUCGAUUUAGUUUGAUCGGUUUGUGAUUUUGGGUGUUUGUCGGAAGCGGUUUGAGUGUUUCAGAUUUGUGGUUCAGGGCUCUUGCGAAGAUGAUGGAGCCGGAUCUGAGAUCGACGGUGACGAGUAUGUAAUAAAGCCAUUGCUUUUCGCCUUCCCCAAAUCCAGAUCUGUUACUCGCUCUUGUGCUUCAUGGUGUUUUGAUGUCGCGUGCUUGGCUUGUGUGAGCUCUGUAGUUAGCUUUCAUCUUGCCUUAGCCUCUCCGCUCACCCUUAUUGCCUGGUUUAGCUAAUAGUUGCUCGUUUGGUUCGUCUCCUUUCUAAGAUAAGGCCUUUGUUGUGUGAAGUUAUGCUAGUGUCGUUUGGCUUCAGAUCUUUCUUCUCUUAGGUGGAAGUUACUGGUGAUGAUUUCCGUUGUAGAUGAGUGUCGUUUUUUUUCUUGAUUUCGAAGCUCAUCGAGGUGGUUAUGUUUCGCUCCUUGUCUCUGCGUUUCCGAAUCAGGAGGAUGUCGGAUUGCAUCUUUUUGACUUCUAUCAAGGCGUUCUUUGACGCACCCUCGUCGCAGCCGCAUUUGGAAGUGUUUAAUGAGGAUCUAUUUGGACCUUUACUUGUCAGAUUAUGAAGUCAUUGUUACUUGGUUUCGAGAGAUCUUCUCUCAUUGUGAUAGGAGGAAGCAGUUGUGAUUAAUGGUUGGCCUUGGGCAGCAUUGAUAUAGCUCAUUCGCAGAAACUUCAGAAGAAGAAGAUCGAUUUGGUUAUUUUGACUUAGUGUUUAUCUUCUUGUUUAUUUUUAGUUUGCCUCUUUUCUUAGUUUUUGGUUUCGUUCUCUUUCGAUUUCGGCUUUAAAAGUUUAUGUUGUUUUUAGCGUAGACUUAGAUUUUGGGGAAUUCUCUUUUUUCUCCGACUUUGUCUUCGGGGACUUUUCCUUUGUCCGCCGGCUUAGCUUCCCUCUUUUGGGCUUUAGACUCCGGGGAUAUCUUUGUUUUCCGCCGGCUUAAGUAUUUCACCUUGCUCGAAAUCUUACAUUUUUCCUACUUAACUAAUAGAUAACCUACCC